CCUACGGGAGGCAGCAGUGGGGAAUAUUGGACAAUGGGGGGAACCCUGAUCCAGCCAUGCCGCGUGUGUGAAGAAGGCCCUCGGGUUGUAAAGCACUUUCAGUGAGGAAGAACGCCUGGUGGUUAAUACCCAUCAGGAAAGACAUCACUCACAGAAGAAGCACCGGCUAACUCCGUGCCAGCAGCCGCGGUAAUACGGAGGGUGCGAGCGUUAAUCGGAAUUACUGGGCGUAAAGCGCGCGUAGGUGGCUUGAUAAGCCGGUUGUGAAAGCCCCGGGCUCAACCUGGGAACGGCAUCCGGAACUGUCAAGCUAGAGUGCAGGAGAGGAAGGUGGAAUUCCCGGUGUAGCGGUGAAAUGCGUAGAGAUCGGGAGGAAUACCAGUGGCGAAGGCGGCCUUCUGGACUGAAACUGACACUGAGGUGCGAAAGCGUGGGUAGCAAACAGGAUUAGAUACCCGGGUAGUC
This 465-nucleotide ribosomal RNA is filed under the name Vreelandella stevensii. Its description in RNAcentral is "partial 16S ribosomal RNA". It matches the Rfam family "Bacterial small subunit ribosomal RNA", at positions 338 to 795 of the family's 1533-position model. The record is from RNAcentral. Lineage: Bacteria; Pseudomonadati; Pseudomonadota; Gammaproteobacteria; Oceanospirillales; Halomonadaceae.